CAGCAGCCGCGGUAAUACAGAGGGUGCGAGCGUUAAUCGGAUUUACUGGGCGUAAAGCGUGCGUAGGCGGCUUCUUAAGUCGGAUGUGAAAUCCCUGAGCUUAACUUAGGAAUUGCAUUCGAUACUGGGAAGCUAGAGUAUGGGAGAGGAUGGUAGAAUUCCAGGUGUAGCGGUGAAAUGCGUAGAGAUCUGGAGGAAUACCGAUGGCGAAGGCAGCCAUCUGUCCUAAUACUGACGCUGAGGUACGAAAGCAUGGGGAGCAAACAGGAUUAGAUACCCCUGUAGUCCCUGUCUCUUAUAC
RNAcentral lists this ribosomal RNA (301 nucleotides) under uncultured bacterium. RNAcentral's name for it is "partial 16S ribosomal RNA". It matches the Rfam family "Bacterial small subunit ribosomal RNA", at positions 509 to 807 of the family's 1533-position model. The record is from RNAcentral.